RNAcentral lists this ribosomal RNA (641 nucleotides) under Acinetobacter baumannii. RNAcentral's name for it is "bacterial SSU rRNA". It matches the Rfam family "Bacterial small subunit ribosomal RNA", at positions 879 to 1520 of the family's 1533-position model. The record is from RNAcentral. Lineage: Bacteria; Pseudomonadati; Pseudomonadota; Gammaproteobacteria; Moraxellales; Moraxellaceae.
AGUACGGCCGCAAGGUUAAAACUCAAAUGAAUUGACGGGGGCCCGCACAAGCGGUGGAGCAUGUGGUUUAAUUCGAUGCAACGCGAAGAACCUUACCUACUCUUGACAUCCAGAGAAUUGAGCAGAGAUGCUUAAGUGCCUUCGGGAACUCUGAGACAGGUGCUGCAUGGCUGUCGUCAGCUCGUGUUGUGAAAUGUUGGGUUAAGUCCCGCAACGAGCGCAACCCUUAUCCUUUGUUGCCAGCGAUUCGGUCGGGAACUCAAAGGAGACUGCCGGUGAUAAACCGGAGGAAGGUGGGGAUGACGUCAAGUCAUCAUGGCCCUUACGAGUAGGGCUACACACGUGCUACAAUGGCGUAUACAAAGAGAAGCGACCUCGCGAGAGCAAGCGGAACUCAUAAAGUACGUCGUAGUCCGGAUUGGAGUCUGCAACUCGACUCCAUGAAGUCGGAAUCGCUAGUAAUCGUAGAUCAGAAUGCUACGGUGAAUACGUUCCCGGGCCUUGUACACACCGCCCGUCACACCAUGGGAGUGGGUUGCAAAAGAAGUAGGUAGCUUAACCUUCGGGAGGGCGCUUACCACUUUGUGAUCCAUGACUGGGGUGAAGUCGUAACAAGGUAACCGUAGGGGAACCUGCGGUUG